AGGAAGACGGUGAGUAGAAGCCAA
Molecule: microRNA, 24 nt
Filed under: Carica papaya (papaya)
Lineage: Eukaryota; Viridiplantae; Streptophyta; Magnoliopsida; Brassicales; Caricaceae
Description: cpa-miR8146
Source: miRBase by way of RNAcentral